AUUGGGAGUGUCAUUGUUAAGGCAGUAGUACCAGUAAAUAACCAAUAGGUGUCAGUAAUCCGCGGGAGAGCUUCGCUGCAUAUUUCUCUUCAAGAUUGAAUCGCAACCAAAUCCUCGUCGAGCAACACGUCCACUGAGCAACCAUGUCUGUGUCCUUAAAGGAACUCUGUCAGGUACAGAGUGGAACGAUGAACUUGAAAAUCAAGCAUUCUGAUGACUGGCGUCCCCAUCCGAGUCACCACCUCAGACAACAACAGUCAUAAACUCACAAACACAAAUACACUCAGUAAUGCGCUUAAUAAAGAAAGACUUAACUAUGA
Long non-coding RNA from Misgurnus anguillicaudatus (oriental weatherfish), 320 nucleotides. RefSeq lists it as uncharacterized. The record is from RefSeq and is a predicted model, not a curated record. NCBI's taxonomy places the organism in Eukaryota, Metazoa, Chordata, Actinopteri, Cypriniformes, Cobitidae.